Molecule: ribosomal RNA, 253 nt
Filed under: uncultured bacterium
Lineage: Bacteria
Description: partial 16S ribosomal RNA
Rfam family: Bacterial small subunit ribosomal RNA
Source: RNAcentral
UACGAAGGGGGCUAGCGUUGUUCGGAAUUACUGGGCGUAAAGCGCGCGCAGGCGGCUCUUCAAGUCAGGGGUGAAAGCCCAGAGCUCAACUCUGGAAUUGCCUUUGAGACUGUAGAGCUUGAGUACGGGAGAGGUGAGUGGAACUGCGAGUGUAGAGGUGAAAUUCGUAGAUAUUCGCAAGAACACCAGUGGCGAAGGCGGCUCUUUGGCCUGUAACUGACGCUGAGGCGCGAAAGCGUGGGGAGCAAACAGG